This 240-nucleotide unclassified non-coding RNA is filed under the name Hevea brasiliensis (rubber tree). The record is from RNAcentral. Lineage: Eukaryota; Viridiplantae; Streptophyta; Magnoliopsida; Malpighiales; Euphorbiaceae.
GUCAGAAGGAGGAAUUGCCUCGAUUGCCACCUGUCAAACUGAAGUCUGAAGACAAACCUUUGAGUCUUAAUUGGAAGGAAAACUUUGAACGUGAUGGACAAAUUGCAACAUUUACUGGAAUUGACAGCUCCCUUCUUAUAGGGUCUUAUCUAGAUGUUCCUGUCGGGCAAGAAAUUUCAUCUGCUGGUGGAAAGAGGAAUGCUGGUGGCAAUUGGUUGUCUGUAAGUCAGGGAAUUGCAG